UCCUGCCAGUAGUCAUAUGCUUGUCUCAGAGAUUAAGCCAUGCAUGUCCAAGUACAUACCUUCAAACGGUGAAACCGCGAAUGGCUCAUUAAAUCAGCUAUGGUUCCUUAGAUCGUACAUACUACAUGGAUAACUGUAGUAAUUCUAGAGCUAAUACAUGCCACUAUGCCCUGACCCGCGAGGGGACGGGUGGAUUUAUUAGAACAGAACCAACCGGGUGUGGCCUUGGCCGCGCCUGUUGCAUUCUGUGAUGACUCUGGAUAACUUCACUGAUCGCAGUCGGCCUUGUGUCGGCGACGGAUCCUUCAAAUGUCUGCCCUAUCAAUUUACGAUGGUAGGUGACCUGCCUACCAUGGUUCUAACGGGUAACGGGGAAUCAGGGUUCGAUUCCGGAGAGGGAGCCUGAGAAACGGCUACCACUUCCAAGGAAGGCAGCAGGCACGCAAAUUACCCACUCCCGGCACGGGGAGGUAGUGACGAAAAAUACGGAUACGGGACUCACUCGAGGCUCCGUAAUUCGAAUGAGUACAAUCUAAAGCCUUUAACGAGGACCAAUUGGAGGGCAAGUCUGGUGCCAGCAGCCGCGGUAACUCCAGCUCCAAAAGCGUAUAUUAAAGUUGCUGCAGUUAAAAAGCUCGUAGUUGGAUCUGGGUCGCGCGUUCACAUGUCGUCGCUUGCGAUUGGCUUCGGUUAGUUGCAAGUGAUGGUUACGUGGUCGUGCAGCCUUUCAGCCGUGUCUGCGUGAGCAGGUGUUGGCUGGCCGGUAAGCUUGCUUGCUGGUUAGUUGACAUGUUUYCUGAUGCCUUUAAACGGGUGUCGGGGGCGUACGGCACUUUUACUUUGAACAAAUUUGAGUGCUCAAAGCAGGCCCAUGUGCCUGAAAAGUCUUGCAUGGAAUAAUAUAAUAGGACUUCGGUUCUAUUUUGUUGGUUUCCGGAUCCGAAGUAAUGGUUAAGAGGAACAGACGGGGGCAUUUGUAUGGCGGCGUGAGAGGUGAAAUUCAGUGAUCGUCGCCAGACAAACUACAGCGAAAGCAUUUGCCAAGAAUGUUUUCAUUGAUCAGGAGCGAAAGUCAGAGGUUCGAAGACGAUCAGAUACCGUCCUAGUUCUGACCAUAAACGAUGCCAACUGACAAUCCGCGGCGGUUCUUUAAUUGGCCCCGCGGGCAGUCCCCGGGAAACCCUUAAGUCUUUGGGCUCCGGGGGAAGUAUGGUUGCAAAGCUGAAACUUAAAGGAAUUGACGGAAGGGCACCACCAGGAGUGGAGCCUGCGGCUUAAUUCGACUCAACACGGGAAAACUCACCCGGCCCGGACACUGUGAGGAUUGACAGAUUGAUAGCUCUUUCUUGAUUCGGUGGUUGGUGGUGCAUGGCCGUUCUUAGUUGGUGGAGCGAUUUGUCUGGUUAAUUCCGAUAACGAACGAGACUUUGGCCUGCUAAAUAGUAUGCCUGUCCUCUGUGCACGUGCGGGUUGCGGUGUCCAUUGCUCCUUUGGGGUGGUGGUGCCGUCAGCCGGCGGGUACGGCGCAGGUACUUACUUCUUAGAGGGACAAGCGGCCCAUAAGUCGCAUGAAAUUGAGCAAUAACAGGUCUGUGAUGCCCUUAGAUGUCCGGGGCCGCACGUGCGCUACAAUGACGGUUUCAGCGAGUUUGGAAUCCUGGCCUGAGCAGGUUGGGUAAACUGUAUCAUAACCGUCGUGACUGGGAUCGGGGCUUGCAAUUGUUCCCCGUGAACGAGGAAUUCCUGGUAAGUGCAAGUCAUAAGCUUGCGCUGAUUACGUCCCUGCCCUUUGUACACACCGCCCGUCGCUACUACCGAUUGAAUGGUUUAGCAAGGUCCUCGGAUUGGUGCCAUUGUAGUGGUUUCGGCCGCUCGACCGGUGCUGAGAAGACGACCAAACUUGAUCAUUUAGAGGAAGUAAAAGUCGUAACAAGGUUUCCGUAGGUGAACCUGCGGAAGG
RNAcentral lists this ribosomal RNA (1960 nucleotides) under Hysteromorpha triloba. RNAcentral's name for it is "SSU rRNA". It matches the Rfam family "Eukaryotic small subunit ribosomal RNA". Lineage: Eukaryota; Metazoa; Platyhelminthes; Trematoda; Diplostomida; Diplostomidae. The record is from RNAcentral.